AUUGAACGCUGGCGGCAUGCCUUACACAUGCAAGUCGAACGGCAGCACGGGUGCUUGCCCCUGGUGGCGAGUGGCGAACGGGUGAGUAAUACAUCGGAACAUGUCCUGUAGUGGGGGAUAGCCCGGCGAAAGCCGGAUUAAUACCGCAUACGAUCUACGGAUGAAAGCGGGGGACCUUCGGGCCUCGCGCUAUAGGGUUGGCCGAUGGCUGUUUAGCUAGUUGGUGGGGUAAAGGCCUACCAAGGCGACGAUCAGUAGCUGGUCUGAGAGGACGACCAGCCACACUGGGACUGAGACACGGCCCAGACUCCUACGGGAGGCAGCAGUGGGGAAUUUUGGACAAUGGGCGAAAGCCUGAUCCAGCAAUGCCGCGUGUGUGAAGAAGACCUUCGGGUUGUAAAGCACUUUUGUCCGGAAAGAAAUCCUUGGCCCUAAUACGGUCGGGGGAUGACGGUACCGGAAGAAUAAGCACCGGCUAACUACGUG
This 486-nucleotide ribosomal RNA is filed under the name uncultured bacterium. RNAcentral describes it as "partial 16S ribosomal RNA". It matches the Rfam family "Bacterial small subunit ribosomal RNA", at positions 30 to 507 of the family's 1533-position model. The record is from RNAcentral.